RNAcentral lists this ribosomal RNA (728 nucleotides) under uncultured bacterium. RNAcentral describes it as "bacterial SSU rRNA". It matches the Rfam family "Bacterial small subunit ribosomal RNA", at positions 112 to 873 of the family's 1533-position model. The record is from RNAcentral.
AACGAGUAGAUACGUACCCAGGGGUCCGGGAUAGCCAUGCGAAAGCGUGAGUAAUACCGGAUAAUGUCUCCGGACCAAAUAUUUAUAGCCCUUGGAGCGGUCUGCUUACUAUUAGCUUGUUGGUGGGGUAAAGGCCUACCAAGGCGAAGAUGGUUAGCGGGUGUGAGAGCAUGGCCCGUCUCACUGGGACUGAGACACUGCCCAGACAUCUACGGAUGGCUGCAGUCGAGAAUCUUCCGCAAUGGACGAAAGUCUGACGGAGCGACGCCGCGUGAUGGACGAAGGCCCUCGGGUUGUAAACAUCUGUCGUAGGGGAGGAAAUUUUGACCGAUCCUAGGAGGAAGCACAGGCUAAGUUCGUGCCAGCAGCCGCGGUAAUACGAACUGUGCAAACGUUAUUCGGAAUCACUGGGCUUAAAGGGUGCGUAGGCGGGUUAGUAGGUCAGAUGUGAAAGCCCACGGCUCAACCGUGGAAUUGCGUUUGAAACCACUAGUCUUGAGGGGAUCAGAGGAGAGCGGAACUGAUGGUGGAGCGGUGAAAUGCGUUGAUAUUAUCAGGAACACCGGUGGCGAAGGCGGCUCUCUGGGAUCUUUCUGACGCUGAGGCACGAAAGCUAGGGGAGCGAACGGGAUUAGAUACCCCGGUAGUCCUAGCUGUAAACGAUCUGUACUAGUCCGUGGGGACCCCCACAUCUUCUCGGACGUAGCGAAAGUGUUAAGUACAGCGCC